UACGUAGGGUGCAAGCGUUGUCCGGAAUUAUUGGGCGUAAAGAGCUCGUAGGCGGUCUGUCGCGUCUGCUGUGAAAACUCAGGGCUUAACCCUGAGCUUGCAGUGGGUACGGGCAGACUAGAGUGCGGUAGGGGAGACUGGAAUUCCUGGUGUAGCGGUGAAAUGCGCAGAUAUCAGGAGGAACACCGAUGGCGAAGGCAGGUCUCUGGGCCGAUACUGACGCUGAGGAGCGAAAGCGUGGGGAGCAAACAGG
This 253-nucleotide ribosomal RNA is filed under the name uncultured bacterium. Its description in RNAcentral is "partial 16S ribosomal RNA". It matches the Rfam family "Bacterial small subunit ribosomal RNA", at positions 524 to 776 of the family's 1533-position model. The record is from RNAcentral.